CGGCAUCAUUUAAAGAGGGGGUGGAUGUAGGAAUGAUGUAAAAUGUUUCUCCCAGCCUUAGGGGGGAGCUGUGUUCUAUGAGUGUUUCACUGUGUGAGUUAGGCCUUCUUCACAUGGGUGGAGCUGUUUUUAAUUCAGUUCUAUUUUCCUUGUGGAAAGUUCUAUUUUCCUUGUGGAAAGAUGUUGCGGUGUGCUGCGUACUGGCUGAUGCAGAAUAAGAGAGCCCAAAAUAAAGUUGCUACCGUGAUGACCACGA
Non-coding RNA from Pimephales promelas (fathead minnow), 256 nucleotides. NCBI's taxonomy places the organism in Eukaryota, Metazoa, Chordata, Actinopteri, Cypriniformes, Leuciscidae. The record is from RefSeq and is a predicted model, not a curated record.